AUUGAACGCUGGCGGCAGGCCUAACGCAUGCCAGUCGAGCGGAUGAAGGGAGCUUGCUCCUGGAUUCAGCGGCGGACGGGUGAGUAAUGCCUAGGAAUCUGCCUGGUAGUGGGGGAUAACGUCCGGAAACGGGCGCUAAUACCGCAUACGUCCUGAGGGAGAAAGUGGGGGAUCUUCGGACCUCACGCUAUCAGAUGAGCCUAGGUCGGAUUAGCUAGUUGGUGGGGUAAAGGCCUACCAAGGCGACGAUCCGUAACUGGUCUGAGAGGAUGAUCAGUCACACUGGAACUGAGACACGGUCCAGACUCCUACGGGAGGCAGCAGUGGGGAAUAUUGGACAAUGGGCGAAAGCCUGAUCCAGCCAUGCCGCGUGUGUGAAGAGGGUCUUCGGAUUGUAAAGCACUUUAAGUUGGGAGGAAGGGCAGUAAGUUAAUACCUUGCUGUUUUGACGUUACCAACAGAAUAAGCACCGGCUAACUUCGUG
This 484-nucleotide ribosomal RNA is filed under the name uncultured bacterium. RNAcentral's name for it is "partial 16S ribosomal RNA". It matches the Rfam family "Bacterial small subunit ribosomal RNA", at positions 30 to 507 of the family's 1533-position model. The record is from RNAcentral.